Molecule: long non-coding RNA, 2018 nt
Filed under: Homo sapiens (human)
Lineage: Eukaryota; Metazoa; Chordata; Mammalia; Primates; Hominidae
Description: PCBP1 antisense RNA 1, transcript variant 1 (PCBP1-AS1)
Source: RNAcentral
GUCCCCGGCGUCCGGGCGCCCUGCAUGGAUCCCCCACCCCAGCUCCUGCUCCCCGGCGGCGGCCGGUGGGCAGAAAGACCGAAACCCACUCACGGCCGCCUGCCGAAUCGCGGCUCUGCUGUUUGUGGGGCGUGCUAGAAACGUGGUCCUAAAAAGAAUGGCGUCCAUUUACAUAAUGCUUUGUUUGCGUUUCGCAAGUUUCUUUCGGUUAAAGCCACAGAAACCCCACCUCCUGCCCUUGUGUCGUUUCCACCGCGGCACCCUUUUCCGACAUUAGAAACAAUAGUGUACGCCUGUGGAGGCCUCGUUUGUUCAGGGGCUGCCGGCCAGGGCUUCAGGACGUUUCUGCGGCUUUCCCCGCGCGGCCUGGGCUCCCGCGGCUGCUUUUCGGGCCCAUGGGCGCAGCCACUGCGCCAGGCUCAAGGGGGGCGGCCCCGUCAGGGCCCGCCAUCUUGGAAGGCCUUUUUUGCCGGUUCUUCCCGCUGAGGAAGUGUCGCUCAAGACGCUGGCCUAUGAGUUGUGAUUUCUGCCUUUUCCCCUUCCUCCUUGGGCUAAGCCAGACCAGAAAGGGCCCCGUGCGCAACGUGCUUCACAAUCUCUCAGGGAAAGCGGCUAACGUGGCGCUACUCCGCCUCCCCUGUUCCUUACCCUUGGGGCGGCCGCCAUGUUUCCUGAACACAAAAUGGCGACACGUGGUUAGCAUUCGUCGCCAACGAGAAAUUGGGGUCGGCCCGAAAGCUCUAGAAUGCACCCCUCUUCCUCCCCGGGGCCUUCCACCUCCGCGAGUUUUAUGACUUAAAAAAGCCCACAGGCUGGUCUGAAGGUCGGAGGCCUAAUUUUAACGCGUUUUCCUCCCUUUAAUUUGAAACGGGAACGCGAAUGACUGUAAAAUGUGGGCACAAUAUUUAAUCUCUCGCCUUUUUAAAGCUUAAUAGUGGAUAAUAGGGGGGCAGUAUCAAGGGAUAAUUUGGGUCCCCACAGUACCAAAGCAUUUAGAAACCUCUGUUUAAUUUAAGGAAUGAGAUAAGUUACUGCUUUUCUAGACUUCCUAGCAUGGGCUGUUGUGCUGGAGAGAACGAGAGCUACGAAGAGACUACAGUGCCUCUGACUUUUUCAUAGGACAGUUGGCCGGUGAAUCUUAUUAAUAGUUUACCACAAUUAAGUGUUCAUUUUUAGUCUAGAAGGGACAGGCGUUUAUUGUGCAUUGGCCAGUGCCAGCACAUCCGAUGCAAGGCAGUUCACCGUAUUCUAUCUUUAAUUUUUACCAUGGUCCUCUGAGGUAGGUGUUCUUAUCUCUCUCUCUCUCUCUCUCUUUUAAACAGAGGAAGACAAACAUAAAGAUGAAGUGCUUAAUUCAAGGUCACACAAUGUCGGGGAUGGACCUCCAGAUUUCCUUACUGACCUGCAUUAUCUUGUGGAUACCUGAGUGAAUUCCACACCACCCAUUUUAUAGAUGAAACCACUGAGACAUGGAGCAAUUGACUGAGUAGUCACUGCCCCACCCCUGCCUGGAGCCUCACACAUGACUCGCCUCCUCUCAGUGACCACAGGAAAACAAGCUCAGGGCUCCCACUGAUUGUACAUUAUGAGACGGAGUCUUGCUAUGUUGCCCAGGCUGGUCUUGAACUCCUCACCUCAAGCGAUCCUCCCGUCUUGGCCUCCCAAGUGUCAGGAUUACGGGCAUGUGCUAUCACACCCAACCUGAUACAUUGCCUUUAUAAAUUUUUUUUUCUUUAUUCUAAAAACCAGAAAAAACAAAACUGGAUACAUGUGCAGAACAUGCAGAAAACCUUUUCUCCUGAUUAUAAACAUAUUUCUUUGUGUAAAAAUUUAUAAAUGCAUUUAGAAGAAACUAUGAUUCACUCUAAUUAUAUGAUCCAUUUGUAACUACUCUUAAUAUAUGGUACAUAGUUUAAAAAAUUUUAUUGAGCUUAAAGUGUAUCUAGUUUUGUGUCCUAAUUAUUCUGCUUAACCUUCUAUUGUAAGCAUUUUCCACGUCAAUAAAUAUUAUAAUGUAA